RNAcentral lists this ribosomal RNA (271 nucleotides) under uncultured bacterium. RNAcentral's name for it is "partial 16S ribosomal RNA". It matches the Rfam family "Bacterial small subunit ribosomal RNA", at positions 335 to 623 of the family's 1533-position model. The record is from RNAcentral.
GCGCCUACGGGAGGCAGCAGUGGGGGAUAUUGCACAAUGGGGGAAACCCUGAUGCAGCGACGCCGCGUGAGUGAAGAAGUAUUUCGGUACGUAAAGCUCUAUCAGCAGGGAAGAAAAUGACGGUACCUGACUAAGAAGCCCCGGCUAACUACGUGCCAGCAGCCGCGGUAAUACGUAGGUGGCGAGCGUUGUCCGGAAUUACUGGGUGUAAAGGAAGUGUAGGCGGGAAAAUAAGUCAGAAGUGAAAACUAUCGUCUUUACCCAAAGCCAG